CCUACGGGUGGCAGCAGUGAGGAAUAUUGGUCAAUGGGCGGAAGCCUGAACCAGCCAAGUCGCGUGAGGGAUUAAGGCCCUAUGGGUCGUAAACCUCUUUUGUCAGGGAGCAAUGGCGUCCACGUGUGGGCGAAUGGAGAGUACCUGAAGAAAAAGCAUCGGCUAACUCCGUGCCAGCAGCCGCGGUAAUACGGAGGAUGCGAGCGUUAUCCGGAUUUAUUGGGUUUAAAGGGAGGGUAGACGGCGCGGCAAGUCUGGAGUGAAAGGCAGGGGCUUAACCCCUGAACUGCUUUGGAAACUGCCAUGCUUGAGUGCUGGAGAGGUAAGUGGAAUUCCUAGUGUAGCGGUGAAAUGCGUAGAUAUUAGGAGGAACACCAGUGGCGAAGGCGGCUUACUGGACAGUAACUGACGUUGAGGCUCGAAAGCGUGGGGAGCAAACAGGAUUAGAUACCCCAGUAGUC
This 461-nucleotide ribosomal RNA is filed under the name uncultured bacterium. RNAcentral describes it as "partial 16S ribosomal RNA". It matches the Rfam family "Bacterial small subunit ribosomal RNA", at positions 338 to 795 of the family's 1533-position model. The record is from RNAcentral.